AAUAUGGCAGAAGGUGAGGGGCCAGAGAAAAAAAGAAGGAGACUAGAGGAGCUGCUGGCUGAGAAAAUGGCUGUUGAUGGGGGGUGGGGGGACACU
Long non-coding RNA from Mustela erminea (ermine), 96 nucleotides. RefSeq lists it as uncharacterized. NCBI's taxonomy places the organism in Eukaryota, Metazoa, Chordata, Mammalia, Carnivora, Mustelidae. The record is from RefSeq and is a predicted model, not a curated record. The transcript has 3 exons.